Manis pentadactyla (Chinese pangolin) is the source of this 7105-nucleotide long non-coding RNA. RefSeq lists it as uncharacterized. NCBI's taxonomy places the organism in Eukaryota, Metazoa, Chordata, Mammalia, Pholidota, Manidae. The record is from RefSeq and is a predicted model, not a curated record. The transcript has 7 exons.
ACUGAACUUUUUUUUAAGAGAAAACUUGUAAGACUAGUGUAUAAAAUUUUAGCACUGCUUAUUUGGCUUGUUUUGUAGCUAUUUUUUUAAGGUAAGGAAUUACAGCAUUCUCUAUUUUUACUUGUUUGAUUAUCACUAAAUAUAAUAAGUGUUGUGUAUAUUGUUAAUUUCAGUGUUUUAGUAGGCCCAAUUUUAAAGUUAAGUAAAUAGUAAUUUUUCUCUGUAGAACGCAUAUUUGAUAGACUUCCUUAGUAAGACAAUUGCUAGGUGCAAGAAGUUAAAGUGAAAAAUGUCUCUAUGGACUUCAUGACAAGCCUUUUUAUUUACAUAUUUAAUAUUCCUUGUUCUUGCUUACCGAGAUUGGCUCUAGUGUUUCUUUUUACUCUCGUUACCCUUGUAAACAGUUACCAGUUUAAAAUAGGGUGAUUGUGAACUCCAUUUUAUCCAUAAAACUGUGUCACAAACACAUAGUUGUUGUCUAUGACUCCCAAAUAUUUGGCAUAUUUUUGGUGAAAGGAAUUAGAAUUUCAGAAAUAAAGAUAAAAUAAAUAACUGCAGAAAUUACUAGCUUUGAGUAGUUGCCGUGAAGUUGUGUGUGUGUAUGUGUGUUGAAAAGUUUGCAAAAUAGAAGGAAUUAAACUUGAUUUUUUUUUCUAGACUGUAAACUUUGAUUUAACAAAAAACUACUUAGAUUUGAUCAUAACCUAUACAACACUAAUGAUCCUGCUGUCUCGAAUUGAAGAAAGGAAGGCAAUCAUUGGAUUAUACAACUAUGCUCAUGAAAUGACCCACGGAGCAAGGUAGACCUACAUUUUAAAACAGUUUGUGAAGUUUUCAAUUUGAUGGCUUAUAACUCAGUGAAAUUUGGUAUGUCUCUUUUAAGUGACUGAGAAUACCCACGCCUUGGUCAGAUGAUCGUGGAUUAUGAAAACCCUUUAAAGAUGAUGGAAGAAUUUGUACCCCAUAGCAAGUCUCUUUCAGAUGCACUAAGUUCUCUUCGGAUGGUGUAUCCUCGAAGGAAUCUGUCAGCUGACCAGUGGAGAAACGCCCAGUUACUGAGUCUCGUCCGUGCACCCGAUGCCUUGUGAAUAUCUCUCUUUGGAUGCAAUGGAAAAGUGGAUUAUCUUUUACAAGAGAGGAGCCAAGAGGUGGCAUUGGUAGAGCAGCGGAAAUCUCCUCCCAAAACCAUAUAUAUUUUUGAAAAUUCAACAAAUACAUCUAUUCCUAAAAGAGAGACCAGAAGAUACAGUACAUUGGCCAGGGUACAUCUACAUCUGCAAGACAAAAGCGCCUCUCAAAGGGGCCAGGUCCCGCAAUAGCGGAGCAGCAGCCUGAGGCCAGCCACACCCAGAGCAACGCUGGAGCUUACUCCACAGCAGCCGGCUAGACUUUAUCUUUCAUUUGGUGCCUAAACCUGGGAAGGAGCGUGAGCACGGGGCCCCGACCGGCCACCGGCGGCCCUGCCCCCUACUUCCCCCACCCAGGACCUCAACCUGCUCUCCGCUGUGUGGACUAUUUUCUGAUCCGCCAGGAGACCUCAUUCGCCUGCUUCCCUCAGCUCACAAUCCCCUCCCCCUCUCUCCACUACUAUCUUUAAGUCCUUUGUCUUCACACGUGUUGCCGCCAUCUUAAAGUCCUACAUUCUCAACCAUGCCUUUGUCCUGCUCUCCUCUCCCAGUGUCUGCACCACCCCCUCCCCCUCUCCGUCCGCCUUCACCACACUCUUCCCCCACCAGAACACACUCCUCCCGCCCUCUGGUUCCAGAAGCCACGGACAAGAAGCUGAAAAGAGGGAAAGUGAUUAGAUAUCAGUGACUCAAGUCUUUUUAUCGGUUUGUCUGUCUGUGUAUAUGUUUUUGUGUAAAAAGGGUUGCUGACUGUAGUCAUUAUGUCUCAGUUUGUAUGUGUGUGUGUCUAGGUGUGUAGAUGAAAAAUAUUUUACUACCUCCGGGUGGUAUUAAUAAAAAUUGAUUUAAAAAACAAGUGCUUGUGAAAAUUGGGCAUUCUAAAACUUCCAGAAAAUCUGAUAAAAAAUGUUAAGCAUUAAUGCUAAUUUGGGUUUAGCUGAGGCGAGCAUGUCCUUGUGGUUAUCAGCUGCCUAAGUUUACCUAAGAUCAUUUAAGCUAAUGUUAUCUGCUAAAUCUUUUAAGAAUAAAAUGCUUAAAGGCUUAACUUUGUCUAAUAUUCAGUAAAGGUCUUGUAGGUAAUCUAGCAUAGUUGUUACGAAUGAAUGAACUAAAUAAGUGUGGCAAGUGAACACCUUUUUAAUUGUGUGUUACAGGGUGUAUACCUACCUGCCAGCCUGAGAAUCUUUGUGGUAACCUAAAAAAAACCUUAAAGUUUUGCUAAGUUAAGAAGAUAUACUUUAUGUUUAGUGAGAUAUUGUGCUAUAAAGCUCAGAGUUACAGAAAUUAUAAAAUGUUCAUAAAUUUGUCAAUCUGAAGUAUGCUAGUGUAAUAGUUUACAAUAGCCUGCUUCUCAGUGUUCACGAAAAAUUAAGGUACCUAAUGGUAUUAAGUUCUAAUUAAAAUUACUUAAAGUAAUAAGGAUAACAUUUUUGCAUGCUAAAGAAUGUGUCUUUUGAUAAAAGAAAGUAACUUUAUUCUAAAGUACAGCUGUUUAUAUAGAAAGAAAUCUAAAUGUAAAAGGGUUGUAGAAAGUUUGUAGAAGAAUUUAAUAUGGUCAUGCUAUAUAAAAUUAAAGCAAAUGAGUCUCGGUAUCAAGUACACAGCAAAAUUAGAAUCUUGUUUUCAGUUAAAAAGACAAUGUUUUCUUAACUGUUAGUGUGCUCUUAAUAUUGAAAGAUUGCAAAAAGUUCUCUAAUUGUUUUAUCUAAGCAGUUUCUCAUGCUUAAAGUCUCAGUGAGUUGUCUGAUUAUUUAAGAAAAUGAGAUCUUAAUAUUAAAAAGACUAAAAGCUAAGAUUUGUUAACAACUGUGUAACCUUCUGUAUCUGCCUUUAAAAUCUUUUAUUGUCAUUUGGGUUAAAUAGAUAAGUAUUGUUUCAUAGUGACUUAUGAUUCUAUUUAGGCAAGUGCCUUAAAAACUUUUAACAGCUUCCCAAAAUCAAAUUCAAAAUGGUACUUUUACCUCUAGUUAACUCUGCUAUUUUCCAGAGGGCCCCUAGAACAUGUCAGAAGAACUUUUUCUCAUUGGAGAAAGUAUUUGGCCAAUUUAGCUUAUUUAUCUGAUAUGUAAUUACCUGCUUAAUUACUUAAAAAGCACUGUCAAAAAGAAUAAUGCUAAACUUUGUUACUAAAUGCUUUGUGUUACAGAAAUACCAGAUUUCCUUAUGUCAACUGUCUUACUGUAAGCUCUCAUCAAAUCUUUAACCAUUGUCAUUUGUAAGUUUUAUUAUUUAUAGUCACUGUUUUAUUAUUCUUAAGCUAGUAAAGAACUUGAUUUCAGCAGAACAGGUAUUAGUUACAUAGGAUUAAGUAAACUAAGGAAGAUGACUUUGUGGCUUUUUGUUUCAAAUGUUGUUGAUUAAGUGUUUUAAGCUUUUUCUCUUAAGCUGACAACAGUUUAGUAAAUGACUGCCUUUAUAAGCAGAACUGCAACUUUAUCUUUCUCUCUACCUGAUCCCUCCAGAAUUUAAAAACUCUCAGUGACUAUUUUUAUAUUUCAUGGCAGUAUGUUUAUUUGCACAAGUUCAAUAAGAAUCUGCUUUCCUUGUAAGAAGACCUGUUAAAAACACUGGUUAUAUUACCAAGGCUUUGACUGGAACGUCACACCUGAGAGACACAUGUGUAAACUCAGAUAUGAACAGAGAGCUUUAAGGAACUAAGAUUGACUUUAUACAGCCAACAAGCCCCUUAGAAGACCUGGCCUAGUACCUUGCUUACAGAGUUCCCAGCAGCCUUACCAGGUGAGUAAAGAAGGUCACUUCCUGGCAGGUGCAGGAACCUCAAGAAUGUCUUGGGAACCUGAAGAAGAGAAAAAUUCACCCAAAUCUACAGGUACUGCAGGCAAAACCUGAUGGCAAGUCUAGCUUGGCUGUCUGGCCUCAAGAGGCCUUUAAAAGUCCAAUCUGAAAUUCCUUACAAAAAAUUCCAGCAAAGCAUAUUUAAUAGAGCCUAUGUAAUCAAUUGCUCUUCUUGCUGUGCUUAUGCAAAUAAUCAAGCCAACUGUUAAUUAUUUUCUUAACCUAGCUACUUCUAAUAAAAAUGAGGGUGAUUUUAGAAGAAGGUAUUGUUUCAAUAAUGCAGUCUUAUCUAUACUAAAUCCCAAUACUAGUCAUUAAAAUGUAAACUCAAUUCAGAAUUGCAGUCCCCCAUAAUAGCCUGGCUAAUGCCCCUACUGGGCCCCUUAAUAACAGUUUGUAGUUUACUCUUAGUUGCCUCUUGUGUCCUCAGGUUCCUCCAACAGCAGGUAACCUAGAUAACCCGGGUCGCCACCAACCAGAUGUUACUUCACUGUUACCCCUCCUUCGGCCUAAUACCAGCCUCAAAUCCCCACGGCACCCCUUGUCAGCCAGAAGUAGCCAGAUCGAGUCGUCGCCCAUUAUGAACAAAAGGCUGGAAUGUUAGGCUGGAGGAAGGAAAAACAAGGACAUGCAAACAGAACAGAGGGUUACCAUAAAAUGAGAACUGACCAGACCCCAAGGUCCGUGCCUUAUAUGGAAAGGGGACAGUUAUUCCUGAAUUCCAUCCUUCUGAUGUGCCAACUAAGACCCAGAUGUCAGCCUCCUCCCUCUUGGAAAGAAAAAAAAAAGUUUCUAGUUGUCUAUUAUGUCACCUUUAGCCAAUCACACCUUUCAACACCCUGUAGGAUAGCUUGCCCACUCCUCCCCCUCCUAACCCCUUAUGAGCCCCCACCUCCCUGACCGGGUGGGACUUCCCUGGCCUGUGUUUCAGACCGUGGAUCAUUACCCGGGAGUUUGCGUUCAAAUAAACUACGUGGCCCUUUGUUGCCUCUCUUCGCCUGCUUAUUUCAGCUAGAAUUUAUCUUACAACAAUCAUUAUUAAAUAGUGGACCCAGAGGCAGUUUCUUCAUUAAUAAACUCUAUUUUUACACCAGCUCUUUGUUUUAAUGCCACUCUUUUGUUUAGAACUAAAUUUGAAAUCUAACUUUGGGAUAUAGCCCACUGCCAAGCCUCUCUAUGUGAAUGUCUCAAAAUUACCACAAAUUCAAUAUACUCAAAUGUCAGCUCACCCUCUUUACCAAGUCAGGACAAAGUAAAGCCCUGUUCUCCUGCAUCUGCUAUCUCAGUGACAAUAUCAGUAUCUAGGAAAACCAGAAACAGAAAUGCUUCUAGAUACCUCCUGUCCCUAUUUGUAGCAUUUCCAGAAUAUCUCGCCUGGCUUUAGUAUAUCUGCAUAUCAAUAGACGUUCAGAGGUGGAAAAAGUGUGGCUUUAGUGCAUUUGCAUCUUUCCUCGGGGGUGGAGAAGUUCAUCUUCAUAUCAGUGGGUGAUUACCUGGGCAACAGAGGGCUUAUCUGUACCUGAGAGGUGAGGGAGAAGGCUGGUGUGGUUUCUGCUGGAGCAGAGAAGAAAGGGACUGGGACUGCAGUUUGUGAGAAAUAAACGGGUUUUAAACUUUAUUUCUCCCUUUGACUGCUUUUUGUUUUUAAGAGUAUUUUGCCCUAGGAUUUCCUUUCCCCAGACCGACAAUUGGCGUAAGUUGGCAGAGUUCCUCUGAACCCAAAAUCUGUCAUAAUGGGUGUGACCUUUGGGAGGGCCGCCCCUAGAAAUGACGGGAAGAAGCGGCGCUCACGCCAAGGGACAUGUGUCUUCACUCGUAUGGUUGUGGAGGCGCCACCACUGCUGGUGGCCACGUCAACCCCAGCCCAUGGCCCGAUCCUAAGGCUUCUGCUUCUGCCACUGCUGCUGCUCUUGCUGCCGGCCGGAGCCUGGCCACAACCAUGGAAAGGAGCAGAGGUCUGGGUCACCUUGAUAGAGAGGCAGCUGUCUGCAGUGUACCAUGUCUUGCUGGCUACAGAGCCCAUCGCUGGAACAGCUCCGACCAAGGUAAUAAUCUAUCCCAGCGCAGCAUGGGUGUGAGACUGGACCCAAAGGCCACAGAGUGGUGUGGCACAGACACCUCAAAAGACAAUGUUGGCCCAUCGGUGUGGCUUGUCUUUCACCUUUGAAGAAGUCAGCCGAGCCCAGAAGGAGUGCCCUGCAUGUUGUGCAGAUCAGCAAACCACCAAGAGGGGCCUAGAGCAUCUCUGCAGUGCAUGGAUGGUUGCCAGUUACUGAGACCGAUCGAGGUACCCACUUUAUUGGACAUGUGUUGCAAAGAUGGGUGCAGGAAUUAGGAGUAAAAUGGACAUGGCCCUGGACUUUUCAACACAUGGAUCAGCAAUGGCUGGCUCUUAUGGCAGCUUGGCGAAAAGGCCUGGAAGCUGGCCUUCUGCGUAUUCCUGUAAUAACAGCAAAUUGGCCCCUCAACAAUCACUGUUAUUUGCUUCUACGGUCUUUGUGUCCUGGAUGUGCCCCCCUGGCUGCAGCUGCCGAGUGAUGGCUGGAAUGGACGCGUUUUGGACUUAAUCUGCAUGGGACUUUGAACCUAGCUGAAUCUUCUGGCUUGAGAAUUAUGAUUGUGUUGCUGUUCUAUGAGUUUUGGACUUAAUCUGCAUGGGACUUUGAACCUAGCUGAAUCCUAUGGCUUGAGAAUUGUCAUUGUGUUGCUGUUGCUAAGAAAAUGUAUAAAGAGAGGAUUGACUUUGACUAAUGUUUGGUGAAAAUUUUGUGAGCAAUCUAGCAUGAUUGUUAGGAAUGAGUAAACAAGUGUAGAAACUUAUUUUGUGCUUAGUGAGAGGGAUUGGUUGGAAGAGGGAGAUCAAAGAAAUUGUUAAGGCAAGAUUUCUGGAAGGGUGGAUUGUGGGUAAAAUUGUAGCAUUUCCAGAAUAUCUUGCCUGGCUUUAGUAUAUCUGUAUAUCAAUAGACGUUCAGAGGUGGAAAGAAGUAUGGCUUUAGUGCAUUUGCAUCUUUGCUCAGGGGUGGAGAAGUUCAUCUCCAUAUCAGUGGGUGAUUACCUGGGCAACAGAGGGCUUAUCUGUACCUGAGAGGUGAGGGAGAAGGCCGGUGUGGUUGCUGCUGGAGCAUAGAAGAAAGAUGGACUGGGACUGCAGUUAGUGAGAAAUAAACGGGUUUUAAACUUUA